GACCCAACUUCAAAAACACGUAUUCCAGAAACAUAAAGUGUGGCUCAGGGAACAAAACAAAAUAAACUAAAAAAAGCAACAUUAUAAACUGAUAUUUAAUAUUAAGUUGAAGCACAUAAGUAACACUUUAAAGUAGAAAGAGUAAAUGUUCCUAGAUCCGCCCUUGAGAAAGAGGAUAUGAUGAACUGACAACAGCUGUAAUCUUCUCAGCAUACUUAUACUGUGCCUUGAACAGCAUC
This 239-nucleotide long non-coding RNA is filed under the name Helianthus annuus (common sunflower). RNAcentral's name for it is "sRNA HanXRQr2_Chr16g0766671". Lineage: Eukaryota; Viridiplantae; Streptophyta; Magnoliopsida; Asterales; Asteraceae. The record is from RNAcentral.